This is a long non-coding RNA of Mytilus californianus (California mussel), 1400 nucleotides long. RefSeq lists it as uncharacterized. The record is from RefSeq and is a predicted model, not a curated record. Lineage: Eukaryota; Metazoa; Mollusca; Bivalvia; Mytilida; Mytilidae. The transcript has 3 exons.
UAUAACACUAGUCUUUACAUCAUUGUCUAUUUGUGUGGUUGUCGUCUUCGCACUUGUGGGCCUUGAUGUUUUAUUUAUCCCUGACGAAGGUCUUGAUGUGUGGUCAGGAGGUGUUCGAGUACCUGUAAAUACUUCUUCAUCAGCGUGUCCAUAUAUUUCUUUAGUGGUCUUACUCGCACUUGUUGGUCUUGAUGCGCUUACUGAACCUGAUGUUGGUCUUGAUGUUGUAAUUUUGUUAGAAGAUGAUUGUCUUCUAGUUUCCUUAACUUCAAAUUCCUCAUUGAAGUCACUGAUUUUCGUGUCGGUAGGGCUACUUGUCCUUGAUAUUUUAUUAGCUUCAUGUACUGGACUUGAUACAUUAUUGACAGGUGACAAUUUUCCUGUAGGUGAAGAAUCUCCAGGUAUUUUAUCAUUGGUUUCGAUUGCAGUGGUUACCUUAGAUGCUUCUAUUCCUGAAGAAGGUCUAGAAUGUGGACCAGACGACGUAGAUGUUGUCCCAGUCACAUUUUCUUUGCCUGGAUCAGAUUGAUCUUUUGUCUGGUCUUCAUUCAUGUUAUUCAAAGUGUCAGAUGUUUUUGAUGUAUCUGUUUCAUCUGCAGGGAAAAGAUCUGCUGCGUUGUCUUUGGCACUCGAAGGUCUUGACGAUUCCUUUGAUUUUGAUGUUGGUCUAGAUACUGUUUCGUUGUUUACUACUAUUGGACCUUCUGUAACACUAGUCUUUACAUCAUUGUCUAUUUGUGUGGUUGUCGUCUUUGCACUUGUGGGCCUUGAUGUUUUAUUUAUCCCUGACAAAGGUCUUGAUGUGUGGUCAGGAGGUGUUUGAGUUCCUGUAAAUACUUCUUCAUCAGCGUGUCCAUUUAUUUCUUCAGUGUUCUUAAUCGCACUUGUUGGUCUGGAUGCGCUUCCUGAACCUGAUGUUGGUCUUGAUGUUCUAAUUUUGUCAGAAGAUGAUUGUCUUCUAGUUUCCUUAACUUCAAAUUCCUCAUUUAAGUCACUGAUUUUCGUGUCGGUAGGGCUACUUGUCCUUGAUAUUUUAUUAGCUUCAUGUACUGGACUUGAUACAUUAUUGACAGGUGACAAUUUUCCUGUAGGUGAAGAAUCUCCAGGUAUUUUAUCAUUGGUUUCGAUUGCAGUGGUUACCUUAGAUGCUUCUAUUCCUGAAGAAGGUCUAGAAUGUGGACCAGACGACGACGAUGUUGUCCCAGUCACAUUUUCUUUGCCUGGAUCAGAUUGAUCUUUUGUCUGGUCUUCAUUCAUGUUAUUCAAAGUGUCAGAUGUUUUUGAUGUAUCUGUUUCAUCUGCAGGGAGAAUAUCUGCUGCGUUGUCUUUGGCACUCGAAGGUCUUGACGAUUCCUUUGAUUUUGAUGUUGGUCUAGAUAAUGUUUCGUUGUUUACUACUA